Molecule: ribosomal RNA, 231 nt
Filed under: Triticum aestivum (bread wheat)
Lineage: Eukaryota; Viridiplantae; Streptophyta; Magnoliopsida; Poales; Poaceae
Description: partial small subunit ribosomal RNA
Source: RNAcentral
AUGAAACUUAUCAGCUGGAACUGCCGGGGGCUCGGGAACGGCCCGGCAGUUUGUUCGCUCCUCGAAUUGGGGAGAGUGGAGGAUCCCGAUGUGCUCUUUUUGGCGGAGACAAGACUUACGGAAAAGGAAUUGGACAGGUUUCGGUGGACACUCGGGUUGACGAACAUGACAGCUUGGAAUCCGGUGGGUAGAAGCCGUGGUGUGGCAUUGUUUUGUAAGAGAGGGAUGGAU